This 312-nucleotide unclassified non-coding RNA is filed under the name Sordariomycetes sp. Its description in RNAcentral is "partial contains 5.8S ribosomal RNA, internal transcribed spacer 2, and large subunit ribosomal RNA". The stretch from base 1 to 71 matches the Rfam family "5.8S ribosomal RNA", at positions 84 to 154 of the family's 154-position model. The record is from RNAcentral. Lineage: Eukaryota; Fungi; Ascomycota; Sordariomycetes.
GUGAAUCAUCGAAUCUUUGAACGCACAUUGCGCCCGCCAGCAUUCUGGCGGGCAUGCCUGUUCGAGCGUCAUUUCAACCCCUCAGGCCCUGGUGCCUGGCGUCGGGGCUUUCCCUCGCGGGAAGCCCUCAGAAACAGUGGCGGACCCGCCGCGGCUCCGAGCGCAGUAGUAAAAUUCUCGCUUAGGAGGUCCGCGGGGGGGCUCCCGGCCGUUAAACCCGGCCCUCGCCCUAGGGCGUCGGCUACACCACAAGGUUGACCUCGGAUCAGGUAGGAAUACCCGCUGAACUUAAGCAUAUCAAUAAGCGGAGGA